RNAcentral lists this ribosomal RNA (467 nucleotides) under uncultured bacterium. Its description in RNAcentral is "bacterial SSU rRNA". It matches the Rfam family "Bacterial small subunit ribosomal RNA", at positions 328 to 792 of the family's 1533-position model. The record is from RNAcentral.
AGGCCAGACUCCUACGGGAGGCAGCAGUGAGGAAUAUUGGUCAAUGGCCGAGAGGCUGAACCAGCCAAGUCGCGUGAGGGAAGGCGGCCCUACGGGUUGUAAACUUCUUUUAUAUGGGAAUAAAAUGUUCCACGUGUGGGAUUUUGUAUGUACCAUAUGAAUAAGGAUCGGCUAACUCCGUGCCAGCAGCCGCGGUAAUACGGAGGAUCCGAGCGUUAUCCGGAUUUAUUGGGUUUAAAGGGAGCGUAGAUGGGUUGUUAAGUCAGUUGUGAAAGUUUGCGGCUCAACCGUAAAAUUGCAAUUGAUACUGGCAGUCUUGAGUACAGUUGAGGUAGGCGGAAUUCGUGGUGUAGCGGUGAAAUGCUUAGAUAUCACGAAGAACUCCGAUUGCGAAGGCAGCUUACUAAACUGCCACUGACAUUGAUGCUCGAAAGUGUGGGUAUCAAACAGGAUUAGAUACCCCAGUA